CAGAGAUAACAUCACCAGAAUCAUCAUCAUAAUCAGAGGAGUUGACGAAUUCCCAAUAAGAAAGAUGGUCUUCUUUUCCCAAGAGAAUCAUUUCUGGGUCAUUCUCCAUGGUUGAAAAGAAGUCAACCUCACAAUUGGUUUGCAUCUCUUUUUCACUGGUUUUUGUUAUUGAUAUUUGAUGGGAGGGAGGGAGGAAAGGAGAGAAGUCUGAAAAAGUUCUCUUAAAGCAAGCAAAUGCAGAGACGUUAGCGGAUCAUGUCUCUCACUUCGUCUUGGAUUGGACCACGUUUUCUCAACUAAUAACCAUCUACCACGUCCUUUAACCCUAUACCUACAUCCCACCUAUUCAUUUGUUUUUUCGGCCGGAACUAACAUCUACAAAAUAAUUCGAAUGUGAUUUGUAGAGGGAUGGUUCUUUCUUCAAUAUCAAAAUCAAAAAGGGUCUAAGUUUUAUUUAAAUUUCAGGAUUGGUCAGAGGCAAUUUUACAAUAAUCUACCUAUGCCACCAUGACUUGAUUCCUCUGUACUGAAGUUGGGUUUCAUCUAAUCUCAUAUUGGUUUUUAGAAGAACUUUUUAUAUAGAGUUUAUUAAUUAAUGUAUUUGAUUUAAUAGGUUUGAAGUGCGAAUGAUUGGAAGUUGAAGUGCUAGAACUCGAAUUAAGGAGAUUGUGAAAUGAAAACAUUUGAAUGACGGUAACCAAGACAAGUAUCACAACUUAAAAGCAACCAAUCAAACCAUUGCUGAUCCAUCAUAUUAUUCAUGGCCUACUCUUUAUGUGCAGAGAAAUACUCAAAUCAAUGGGAACCCAAAAAGGAAUCAGAGGAAAUGUAAAGCGAAUUACAUUGAAAUGAAAAGUCUCGCCUAUCAACCAUUGUCUGUUUUAACAAGGGCCCUCUCUCACUAUUCUUGCCCAUCAAAGAUUAACAAG
RNAcentral lists this long non-coding RNA (929 nucleotides) under Gossypium barbadense (sea-island cotton). RNAcentral describes it as "long non-coding RNA (GBAR_LNC021438)". Lineage: Eukaryota; Viridiplantae; Streptophyta; Magnoliopsida; Malvales; Malvaceae. The record is from RNAcentral.